ACGCUAGCUACAGGCUUAACACAUGCAAGUCGAGGGGCAGCAUGGUCUUAGCUUGCUAAGGCCGAUGGCGACCGGCGCACGGGUGAGUAACACGUAUCCAACCUGCCGUCUACUCUUGGACAGCCUUCUGAAAGGAAGAUUAAUACAAGAUGGCAUCAUGAGUCCGCAUGUUCACAUGAUUAAAGGUAUUCCGGUAGACGAUGGGGAUGCGUUCCAUUAGAUAGUAGGCGGGGUAACGGCCCACCUAGUCUUCGAUGGAUAGGAGUUCUGAGAGGAAGGUCCCCCACAUUGGAACUGAGACACGGUCCAAACUCCUACGGGAGGCAGCAGUGAGGAAUAUUGGUCAAUGGGCGAGAGCCUGAACCAGCCAAGUAGCGUGAAGGAUGACUGCCCUAUGGGUUGUAAACUUCUUUUAUAAAGGAAUAAAGUCGGGUAUGGAUACCCGUUUGCAUGUACUUUAUGAAUAAGGAUCGGCUAACUCCGUGCCAGCAGCCGCGGUAAUACGGAGGAUCCGAGCGUUAUCCGGAUUUAUUGGGUUUAAAGGGAGCGUAGAUGGAUGUUUAAGUCAGUUGUGAAAGUUUGCGGCUCAACCGUAAAAUUGCAGUUGAUACUGGAUAUCUUGAGCGCAGUUGAGGCAGGCGGAAUUCGUGGUGUAGCGGUGAAAUGCUUAGAUAUCACGAAGAACUCCGAUUGCGAAGGCAGCCUGCUAAGCUGCAACUGACAUUGAGGCUCGAAAGUGUGGGUAUCAAACAGGAUUAGAUACCCUGGUAGUCCACACGGUAAACGAUGAAUACUCGCUGUUUGCGAUAUACAGCAAGCGGCCAAGCGAAAGCGUUAAGUAUUCCACCUGGGGAGUACGCCGGCAACGGUGAAACUCAAAGGAAUUGACGGGGGCCCGCACAAGCGGAGGAACAUGUGGUUUAAUUCGAUGAUACGCGAGGAACCUUACCCGGGCUUAAAUUGCAGAUGAAUUACGGUGAAAGCCGUAAGCCGCAAGGCAUCUGUGAAGGUGCUGCAUGGUUGUCGUCAGCUCGUGCCGUGAGGUGUCGGCUUAAGUGCCAUAACGAGCGCAACCCUUGUUGUCAGUUACUAACAGGUUCCGCUGAGGACUCUGACAAGACUGCCAUCGUAAGAUGUGAGGAAGGUGGGGAUGACGUCAAAUCAGCACGGCCCUUACGUCCGGGGCUACACACGUGUUACAAUGGGGGGUACAGAGGGCCGCUACCACGCGAGUGGAUGCCAAUCCCCAAAACCUCUCUCAGUUCGGACUGGAGUCUGCAACCCGACUCCACGAAGCUGGAUUCGCUAGUAAUCGCGCAUCAGCCACGGCGCGGUGAAUACGUUCCCGGGCCUUGUACACACCGCCCGUCAAGCCAUGGGAGCCGGGGGUACCUGAAGUGCGUAACCGCGAGGAGCGCCCUAGGGUAAAACUGGUGACUGGGG
Molecule: ribosomal RNA, 1443 nt
Filed under: uncultured organism
Description: SSU rRNA
Rfam family: Bacterial small subunit ribosomal RNA
Source: RNAcentral